AGUCAGGCAGGCACCUGGCAAAGGUCGGCGAAACCUGGACCCACUGUUUGUCUCUCUUCCUGAGUUACUCAAGUUCCUUUGAAGCUCAGUUUAAGUGAGAGGCUGAAUUUGGCUGACAGGGUGUUUUCAAGUGACACGAGUAAUAAACCUGGGAGAGCAUGACUGUUUACAUCUCUGCAGAGAAACUCUGUUCUUUUCUAUGACAGUCGAAGUCCAUUGCACAAGUGUCCCACAAUGGAUGCCGAUGCUUCUGCUUUCUGGGUGGUACAUUAGUCAGACUCGUGUAUUUAGCUUUUAGAAACAACACCUUGAUAAAACUGCUGUGUUUGAGUCUGCAUCUGAGGAGGCAGAGGAUCUGGAGAGAGACAGCACUGAAACUCCCAAACUCCGCAAGUUCAAACUAUGAGACUGUUGGAGAUACAGGGACUGUCAGUGGAUACCGAGGCACUCGGGACAGCAGGAAGAUGCUGCUGUGUCCACCUGAAGGGAAAGUGAUACCAGUGGAGCUGUGUACACAGGAGCUGUGAAUUACCCUUCACUCAGAGCAAGAUGAGGAAAGCAUUAACCUAUUUUAAGUUUAAAAAUAAAGCCUUCUAAGAGGGCUGUGGAUACUACUCAGUGGUAACUCCAUUGUGUAGCACUUGUGAAGCCCUUGGCUGGGCUCUGUUAAGUCUCAAGCCCUGGAACAAAUGGUUGACGCUGCCCCUGCCAGUGCUGUCCCCUUUAUCUACCAUAAAAUUUCUCCUCCACCAUA
Molecule: long non-coding RNA, 754 nt
Organism: Mesocricetus auratus (golden hamster)
Lineage: Eukaryota; Metazoa; Chordata; Mammalia; Rodentia; Cricetidae
Exons: 2
Source: RefSeq, a predicted model, not a curated record